Molecule: ribosomal RNA, 301 nt
Filed under: uncultured bacterium
Lineage: Bacteria
Description: partial 16S ribosomal RNA
Rfam family: Bacterial small subunit ribosomal RNA
Source: RNAcentral
CAGCAGCCGCGGGAAUACGUAGGUGGCAAGCGUUGUCCGGAAUUAUUGGGCGUAAAGGGCUCGCAGGCGGUUUCUUAAGUCUGAUGUGAAAGCCCCCGGCUCAACCGGGGAGGGUCAUUGGAAACUAGGAAACUUGAGUGCAGAAGAGGAGAGUGGAAUUCCACGUGUAGCGGUGAAAUGCGUAGAGAUGUGGAGGAACACCAGUGGCGAAGGCGACUCUCUGGUCUGUAACUGACGCUGAGGAGCGAAAGCGUGGGGAGCGAACAGGAUUAGAUACCCCUGUAGUCCCUGUCUCUUAUAC